AUUUAAAUUAUUAAUUCAAAAUUUCCCCUGCCCCAUGAAUUUAUUUAUAUUUUAAUGGCCGCAGUACUUUGACUGUGCUAAGGUAGCAUAAUAAAUUGGCUUUUAAUUGAAGUCGAGAAUGAACGGGAUUUUAAUCAGAAGCUGUCUCAUAUACAGAUUUAUAGAAAUUACUUAUUAGGUGAAAAUUCCUAAAAUUAUAUUUAAUAGACGAGAAGACCCUUAGAGUUUUUAUUAAUAAAGUAAUUUAAUUAAGAUAUUUAGGAGUUUUUUCUUCUUGAAUACUGACUUUUAAAUUUUUGUUGGGGCAACAAGUAAACAAAAAUAAAACUUCACCAUAUAGAUAUUUAAAGUUAAAUAUAUUUGAGUAUAAGACAAAAAUAAUUUUCUGAGUAAAUAAGACUACCUAAGGGAUAACAGCAUAAUUUAAUAUGUAAGAUUAUGACCUCGAUGUUGGAUUAGGGCCUAGCUAGGUUAACCACUUAGAAAGAAGUGUUCUGUUCGAACAACUGUUCUCCUACAUGAU
RNAcentral lists this ribosomal RNA (523 nucleotides) under Helicodiscus barri. RNAcentral describes it as "partial large subunit ribosomal RNA". Lineage: Eukaryota; Metazoa; Mollusca; Gastropoda; Stylommatophora; Helicodiscidae. The record is from RNAcentral.